This is a long non-coding RNA of Zingiber officinale, 413 nucleotides long. RefSeq lists it as uncharacterized. The transcript has 2 exons. Lineage: Eukaryota; Viridiplantae; Streptophyta; Magnoliopsida; Zingiberales; Zingiberaceae. The record is from RefSeq and is a predicted model, not a curated record.
AGAUUCACUACACCUGCUUGAUGAUUUUCUAAAGACAGUUUUUGGAUAGGGUAUUAUUUGAUUUUGUUUGCAAUAUGUACUUACAAUAUCUCCAACUCUUCUACUUUGCAACACGUUUGGAAGGUUCAAGAGAGAGGAGGCCAAGAUCUCAGCGUGGGAAAACUUGCAGAAGGCAAAAGCUGAGGCAGAAAUCAAAAAACUAGAGAUGAAGCUAGAAAGGAAAAGAUCUUCCUCAAUGGAGAGAAUUCUGAAUAAGCUUCGAUCGGCACAGAAGAAAGCCCAGGAGAUGAGAAGUGCUACGACUGCCAGUCAAGCCAACCAAGUAGCAAAGCCAAUGAAAAAGGUUUCGCCCUUGUGCAAAAAUGGACACAUCAGUUCUUUGAGUGGGUGUUUCACCUGCCAUGCCUUCUAGA